UAGGGAAUCUUCCGCAAUGGACGCAAGUCUGACGGAGCAACGCCGCGUGAGUGAAGAAGGAUUUCGGUUCGUAAAACUCUGUUGUUAGAGAAGAACAGCGCAUAGAGUAACUGUUAUGCGUGUGACGGUAUCUAACCAGAAAGCCACGGCUAACUACGUGCCAGCAGCCGCGGUAAUACGUAGGUGGCAAGCGUUGUCCGGAUUUAUUGGGCGUAAAGCGAGCGCAGGCGGUUAGAAAAGUCUGAAGUGAAAGGCAGUGGCUCAACCAUUGUAGGCUUUGGAAACUGUUUAACUUGAGUGCAGAAGGGGAGAGUGGAAUUCCAUGUGUAGCGGUGAAAUGCGUAGAUAUAUGGAGGAACACCAGUGGCGAAGGCGACUCUCUGGUCUGUAACUGACGCUGAGGCUCGAAAGCGUGGGGAGCGAACAGG
RNAcentral lists this ribosomal RNA (428 nucleotides) under Bacteroidota bacterium. RNAcentral's name for it is "Bacteroidetes bacterium partial 16S ribosomal RNA". It matches the Rfam family "Bacterial small subunit ribosomal RNA", at positions 355 to 776 of the family's 1533-position model. Lineage: Bacteria; Pseudomonadati; Bacteroidota. The record is from RNAcentral.